This 403-nucleotide ribosomal RNA is filed under the name bacterium. RNAcentral's name for it is "partial 16S ribosomal RNA". It matches the Rfam family "Bacterial small subunit ribosomal RNA", at positions 355 to 776 of the family's 1533-position model. The record is from RNAcentral.
UGGGGAAUAUUGCACAAUGGGGGAAACCCUGAUGCAGCGACGCCGCGUGAACGAAGAAGGUAUUCGUAUCGUAAAGUUCUGUCCUAUGGGAAGAUAAUGACAGUACCAUAGAAGAAAGCUCCGGCUAAAUACGUGCCAGCAGCCGCGGUAAUACGUAUGGAGCGAGCGUUGUCCGGAAUUAUUGGGCGUAAAGGGUACGCAGGCGGUUUAAUAAGUCGAAUGUUAAAGAUCGGGGCUCAACCCCGCAAAGCAUUGGAAACUGAUAAACUUGAGUAGUGGAGAGGAAAGUGGAAUUCCUAGUGUAGUGGUGAAAUACGUAGAGAUUAGGAGGAAUACCAGUAGCGAAGGCGACUUUCUGGACACAAACUGACGCUGAGGUACGAAAGCGUGGGGAGCAAACAGG